GGUGAUAAUAGCUAUAUCAUUGUAUUUGGCUGGUAGAGCAUAUCCCUCGUGCACCUGAAUCCCUUCCACCUCGUAGUCAAAGGCUUGGCUUUCAUCAGCUCGUGUGAAGUCCACCUCUCCCAGACGCACCACAGACGGCCUGCGGAAACAAAGGGCUCCAGGAGACAAUGCGCCGCUGUCACUACGUGGUAGGGAGAGAUCAAGGCGCCGCCACAACUGAAAGCGUCUCUGUCAUUCACAUUGUCUUCCGUCACGGGGCGUGGACCAGCAGGCUCCUCACCCUCCACUGAAGAAUAACCGUCACAACAGUAUUUAGGUUUCAGAAGGAAGUCCAAUAUUACUCUUACUAUUACUACUACUAAUAAUAAUAUACUAUCACCAAAA
Portunus trituberculatus (swimming crab) is the source of this 384-nucleotide long non-coding RNA. RefSeq lists it as uncharacterized. The record is from RefSeq and is a predicted model, not a curated record. Lineage: Eukaryota; Metazoa; Arthropoda; Malacostraca; Decapoda; Portunidae. The transcript has 2 exons.